CCCUCAAUCGGAUGGUAAGACGAUAUGCUUCUCUGUUGAUCCUUCGUUCUUCUCUUUCGAUCUUUCUUGUCUUCGUUUCUAGAAUCUUCGAUCAUGUUGUGAUCCGUCAUGUUUCUUAGAAGAUGAUGGAAUGGGAGUUCUAAAGCCGAUCGAAAUCCUUUGGAAGAGCCAAAAGAAGGGCGAAGUAGGAUCUCUUCCACUUUCCUCUUCAACCAGAUUGUAAGUCUACAUGAUUCUCUACUGAUCCUUUGUCGUUCUCUAUCGAUCUUUCUUGAAUGCUUUUCCAGAGUUGCCGACGAUGUUGAGAUCUAUCGUGUUUCUUAUUCGUUUGUUCGCUUGAAAUUUUGUGGUAUCAUCUUCUUCUAGCGUUUUUGAUGGUUUUGAGAUCUGUGAUCUUUUUUGGUCAUCUGUUUUCUUGGAUAUUUCUCGCAUUCUCUUGAUCUAGAUCUAGGGAUCUCGAGGGUUUUGAGAUCUGUCAUUGUCUUCUUGUUCGUUUGUUUUGUUGGAUCCGACUGGAGGCUUCAGGCUCGUGACGAGCCCCGUCCCGAACUCGAGGCAUCCGACCCUCGCUGUGAUGAUGCUCUGACGAGCUCUUCUUCGCUGUAUACUUCUCUAUGGAGAGGGACAGGAAGGUGGGGCACUGGUGGCAUGGAAAGGGAGGAAUUAUCUCGUUUCCAGUAAGAACUCGUCACUUAUUAAUUUUGCAUGAGUUUCUGUCACUGGAGGGAACAUUGGAGGCCGCUGCAUUUCAAAUGAGUUUUCACUGGGACCAUUUUAUGGUAAGUAAAGAAAUUUUCGUUGAGCCGAAGGAAAAUGAAGCGAGAAUGCAUUCGGAGAUUUUACAUGUAUUCUGCAAGACCUUGCUGAGAUACCCGUUAAACGGAGAUGAAAUUUUCUUAGUGUUAAAAUUAUCUACAGUGGUUGUAGCAUUAGCCAGAGAAUGAAUGCGAUUUCUAAUUUAC
Molecule: non-coding RNA, 962 nt
Organism: Musa acuminata subsp. malaccensis (wild Malaysian banana)
Lineage: Eukaryota; Viridiplantae; Streptophyta; Magnoliopsida; Zingiberales; Musaceae
Source: RefSeq, a predicted model, not a curated record